This 433-nucleotide ribosomal RNA is filed under the name uncultured bacterium. RNAcentral's name for it is "partial 16S ribosomal RNA". It matches the Rfam family "Bacterial small subunit ribosomal RNA", at positions 29 to 507 of the family's 1533-position model. The record is from RNAcentral.
AACGAACGCUGGCGGCAUGCCUAACACAUGCAAGUCGAACGAGACCUUCGGGUCUAGUGGCGCACGGGUGCGUAACGCGUGGUAACCUGCCCUUAGGUUCGGAAUAACUCCCCGAAAGGGGUGCUAAUACCGGAUAAUGUCUUCGGACCAAAGAUUUAUCGCCUUUGGAUGGGCCCGCGUUGGAUUAGCUAGUUGGUAGGGUAAAAGCCUACCAAGGCGACGAUCCAUAGCUGGUCUGAGAGGAUGAUCAGCCACACUGGGACUGAGACACGGCCCAGACUCCUACGGGAGGCAGCAGUGGGGAAUAUUGGACAAUGGGCGAAAGCCUGAUCCAGCAAUGCCGCGUGAGUGAUGAAGGCCUUAGGGUUGUAAAGCUCUUUUACCCGGGAUGAUAAUGACAGUACCGGGAGAAUAAGCGCCGGCUAACUCCGUG